UACGUAGGGGGCUAGCGUUGUCCGGAUUUAUUGGGCGUAAAGAGCGUGUAGGCGGCCAGGUAGGUCUGCUGUGAAAACUCGAGGCUCAACCUCGAGACGUCGGCGGAAACCAUCGUGGCUAGAGUCCGGAAGAGGAGAGUGGAAUUCCUGGAUGUAGCGGUGAAAUGCGCAGAGUAUCAGGAAGAACACCCGUGGCGAAGGCGGCUCUCUGGGACGGUACUGACGCUGAGACGCGAAAGCGUGGGGAGCGAACAG
RNAcentral lists this ribosomal RNA (255 nucleotides) under uncultured bacterium. RNAcentral's name for it is "partial 16S ribosomal RNA". It matches the Rfam family "Bacterial small subunit ribosomal RNA", at positions 524 to 775 of the family's 1533-position model. The record is from RNAcentral.